This 303-nucleotide ribosomal RNA is filed under the name uncultured bacterium. Its description in RNAcentral is "partial 16S ribosomal RNA". It matches the Rfam family "Bacterial small subunit ribosomal RNA", at positions 507 to 807 of the family's 1533-position model. The record is from RNAcentral.
AGCAGCAGCCGCGGGAAUACAGAGGGUGCGAGCGUUAAUCGGAUUUACUGGGCGUAAAGCGUGCGUAGGCGGCUUCUUAAGUCGGAUGUGAAAUCCCUGAGCUUAACUUAGGAAUUGCAUUCGAUACUGGGAAGCUAGAGUAUGGGAGAGGAUGGUAGAAUUCCAGGUGUAGCGGUGAAAUGCGUAGAGAUCUGGAGGAAUACCGAUGGCGAAGGCAGCCAUCUGGCCUAAUACUGACGCUGAGGUACGAAAGCAUGGGGAGCAAACAGGAUUAGAGACCCCCGUAGUCCCUGUCUCUUAUAC